RNAcentral lists this ribosomal RNA (253 nucleotides) under uncultured bacterium. Its description in RNAcentral is "partial 16S ribosomal RNA". It matches the Rfam family "Bacterial small subunit ribosomal RNA", at positions 524 to 776 of the family's 1533-position model. The record is from RNAcentral.
UACGUAGGGUGCAAGCGUUAAUCGGAAUUACUGGGCGUAAGGCGUGCGCAGGCGGUGAUGUAAGACAGAUGUGAAAUCCCCGGGCUUAACCUGGGAACUGCAUUUGUGACUGCAUCGCUGGAGUGCGGCAGAGGGGGAUGGAAUUCCGCGUGUAGCAGUGAAAUGCGUAGAUAUGCGGAGGAACACCGAUGGCGAAGGCAAUCCCCUGGGCCUGCACUAACGCUCAUGCACGAAAGCGUGGGGAGCAAACAGG